AGUGAACGCUGGCGGUAGGCCUAACACAUGCAAGUCGAACGGCAGCACAGUAAGAGCUUGCUCUUACGGGUGGCGAGUGGCGGACGGGUGAGGAAUACAUCGUAAUCUACUUUUUCGUGGGGGAUAACGUAGGGAAACUUACGCUAAUACCGCAUACGACCUACGGUUGAAAGCAGGGGAUCUUCUGACCUUGCGCGAUUGAAUGAGCCGAUGUCGGAGUAGCUAGUUGGCGGGGUAAAGGCCCACCAAGGCGACGAUCCGUAGCUGGUCUGAGAGGAUGAUAAGCCACACUGGAGCUGAGACACGGUCCAGACUACUACGGGAGGCAGCAGUGGGGAAUAUUGGACAAUGGGCGCAAGCCUGAUCCAGCCAUACCGCGUGGGUGAAGAAGGCCUUCGGGUUGUAAAGCCCUUUUGUUGGGAAAGAAAAGCAGCAGGUUAAUACCCAGCUGUUCUGACGGUACCCAAAGAAUAAGCACCGGCUAACUUCGUG
This 492-nucleotide ribosomal RNA is filed under the name uncultured bacterium. RNAcentral's name for it is "partial 16S ribosomal RNA". It matches the Rfam family "Bacterial small subunit ribosomal RNA", at positions 29 to 507 of the family's 1533-position model. The record is from RNAcentral.